GAACGCUAGCUACAGGCUUAACACAUGCAAGUCGAGGGGCAGCAUUUUAGUUUGCUUGCAAACUAAAGAUGGCGACCGGCGCACGGGUGAGUAACACGUAUCCAACCUGCCGAUAACUCGGGGAUAGCCUUUCGAAAGAAAGAUUAAUAUCCGAUAGUAUAUUAAAACCGCAUGGUUUUACUAUUAAAGAAUUUCGGUUAUCGAUGGGGAUGCGUUCCAUUAGUUUGUUGGCGGGGUAACGGCCCACCAAGACUACGAUGGAUAGGGGUUCUGAGAGGAAGGUCCCCCACAUUGGAACUGAGACACGGUCCAAACUCCUACGGGAGGCAGCAGUGAGGAAUAUUGGUCAAUGGACGAGAGUCUGAACCAGCCAAGUAGCGUGAAGGAUGACUGCCCUAUGGGUUGUAAACUUCUUUUAUAUGGGAAUAAAGUAUUCCACGUGUGGAAUUUUGUAUGUACCAUAUGAAUAAGGAUCGGCUAACUCCGUGCCAGCAGCCGCGGUAAUACGGAGGAUCCGAGCGUUAUCCGGAUUUAUUGGGUUUAAAGGGAGCGUAGGUGGAUUGUUAAGUCAGUUGUGAAAGUUUGCGGCUCAACCGUAAAAUUGCAGUUGAAACUGGCAGUCUUGAGUACAGUAGAGGUGGGCGGAAUUCGUGGUGUAGCGGUGAAAUGCUUAGAUAUCACGAAGAACCCCGAUUGCGAAGGCAGCUCACUAGACUGCAACUGACACUGAUGCUCGAAAGUGUGGGUAUCAAACAGGAUUAGAUACCCUGGUAGUCCACACAGUAAACGAUGAGUACUCGCUGUUUGCGAUAUACAGUAAGCGGCCAAGCGAAAGCAUUAAGUAUUCCACCUGGGGAGUACGCCGGCAACGGUGAAACUCAAAGGAAUUGACGGGGGCCCGCACAAGCGGAGGAACAUGUGGUUUAAUUCGAUGAUACGCGAGGAACCUUACCCGGGCUUAAAUUGCAUUUGAAUAAUCUGGAAACAGGUUAGCCGCAAGGCAAAUGUGAAGGUGCUGCAUGGUUGUCGUCAGCUCGUGCCGUGAGGUGUCGGCUUAAGUGCCAUAACGAGCGCAACCCUUAUCUUUAGUUACUAACAGGUCAUGCUGAGGACUCUAGAGAGACUGCCGUCGUAAGAUGUGAGGAAGGUGGGGAUGACGCCAAAUCAGCACGGCCCUUACGUCCGGGGCUACACACGUGUUACAAUGGGGGGUACAGAAGGCAGCUACCUGGCGACAGGAUGCUAAUCCCAAAAACCUCUCUCAGUUCGGAUCGAAGUCUGCAACCCGACUUCGUGAAGCUGGAUUCGCUAGUAAUCGCGCAUCAGCCAUGGCGCGGUGAAUACGUUCCCGGGCCUUGUACACACCGCCCGUCAAGCCAUGAAAGCCGGGGGUACCUGAAGUACGUAACCGCAAGGAGCGUCCUAGGGUAAAACUGGUAAUUGGGGCUAA
RNAcentral lists this ribosomal RNA (1450 nucleotides) under uncultured organism. RNAcentral's name for it is "SSU rRNA". It matches the Rfam family "Bacterial small subunit ribosomal RNA". The record is from RNAcentral.